This 130-nucleotide ribosomal RNA is filed under the name uncultured Gram-positive bacterium. Its description in RNAcentral is "partial 16S ribosomal RNA". It matches the Rfam family "Bacterial small subunit ribosomal RNA", at positions 385 to 507 of the family's 1533-position model. The record is from RNAcentral.
GAUGGAGCAACGCCGCGUGAGUGAAGAAGGUUUUCGGAUCGUAAAACUCUGUUGUUAGGGAAGAACAAGUAUGAUAGUAACUGGUUGUACCUUGACGGUACCUUAUUAGAAAGCCACGGCUAACUACGUG